Molecule: small RNA, 27 nt
Filed under: Bombyx mori (domestic silkworm)
Lineage: Eukaryota; Metazoa; Arthropoda; Insecta; Lepidoptera; Bombycidae
Description: ovarian small RNA-32880
Source: RNAcentral
UGAUGGGACACACCACGAGAGAAGGUA